Nicotiana attenuata is the source of this 494-nucleotide long non-coding RNA. RefSeq lists it as uncharacterized. The record is from RefSeq and is a predicted model, not a curated record. Lineage: Eukaryota; Viridiplantae; Streptophyta; Magnoliopsida; Solanales; Solanaceae. The transcript has 2 exons.
AACAGCUAGCAUCUCUGGUCGUUUCAUCAUCGGUCGAAUCAUCUGUUGAUUCAUAUUCAUAUUCACGGAAAGUCCUUCUGAAACCUUUGCCAUUUGUUCUGUGCAGUCGGCCUUUGUCCACUGAUCUUCAGAAUUCAUGUUCUGUUGAACCCUCAGAUGACAACAACAGCAAUAACAACAACAAACCCUGUGUAGUCCACAAGUGGGGUCUGGGGAGGGUAAAGUGUACGCAGACCUUACCUCUACCUUUAAAAGGCAAAGAGGUUGUUUCUGGUAGACCUUCGGCUCAAGGAGGGCGUUGAACCCUCAGAUGUCCUUGAAACCCGUGGAAUUUUAAUGUUUACCGGUGUGUAAUCACAUAUGAAGUCAAUACAUAGCAGAAGCUAGAGAAUAAUCUUUCAAGGUUAGCUAUGAAAAUUUAUGAUGAAAAUGUGCAUGAAGUGGACACAUAAAUUUCUUAGAAUAGUGAACUUUGAAUUUGGAAUGUGCCUUCA